Molecule: microRNA precursor, 104 nt
Filed under: Aegilops tauschii
Lineage: Eukaryota; Viridiplantae; Streptophyta; Magnoliopsida; Poales; Poaceae
Description: miR160c stem-loop (ata-MIR160c)
Gene: ata-MIR160c
Rfam family: mir-160 microRNA precursor family (bases 8-95)
About the family: The hairpin precursors (represented here) are predicted based on base pairing and cross-species conservation -- their extents are not known.
Source: miRBase by way of RNAcentral
CGUGCUUGUGUGCCUGGCUCCCUGUAUGCCACUCAUGUAGCCCAACCCGCGGCGUGAUUGGAUGCUGUGGGUGGCGUGCAAGGAGCCAAGCAUGCGUACAUACA